Molecule: ribosomal RNA, 112 nt
Filed under: uncultured eukaryote
Lineage: Eukaryota
Description: partial small subunit ribosomal RNA
Source: RNAcentral
UCGCUACUACCGAUUGAAUGGCUUAGUGAGCUGUAAGGACCGAGGCUACGAUUGGGUUUCCUUUCGUAUGCUUUGCGGAAUUACAUCAAACUUGAUCAUUUAGAGGAAGUAA